UAGUUGGUGAGGUAAUGGCUCACCAAGACAAUGACGCCUAACUGGUUUGAGAGGAUGAUCAGUCACACUGGAACUGAGACACGGUCCAGACUCCUACGGGAGGCAGCAGUGGGGAAUAUUGCACAAUGGAGGAAACUCUGAUGCAGCAACGCCGCGUGGAGGAUGACACUUUUCGGAGCGUAAACUCCUUUUAUAUAGGAAGAUAAUGACGGUACUAUAUGAAUAAGCACCGGCUAACUCCGUGCCAGCAGCCGCGGUAAUACGGAGGGUGCAAGCGUUACUCGGAAUCACUGGGCGUAAAGAGCGUGUAGGCGGGUUAAUAAGUCAGAUGUGAAAGCCUAUGGCUCAACCAUAGAACUGCAUUUGAAACUGUUAACCUAGAAUAUGGGAGAGGUAGAUGGAAUUUCUGGUGUAGGGGUAAAAUCCGUAGAGAUCAGAAGGAAUACCGAUUGCGAAGGCGAUCUACUGGAACAUUAUUGACGCUGAGACGCGAAAGCGUGGGGAGCAAACAGGAUUAGAUACCCUGGUAGUCCACGCCCUAAACGAUGUACACUAGUUGUUGCGAUGCUAGACAUUGCAGUAAUGCAGUUAACACAUUAAGUGUACCGCCUGGGGAGUACGGUCGCAAGAUUAAAACUCAAAGGAAUAGACGGGGACCCGCACAAGCGGUGGAGCAUGUGGUUUAAUUCGACGAUACGCGAAGAACCUUACCUGGACUUGACAUUUACAGAAUUUUUCAGAGAUGAGAGAGUGUCUGCUUGCAGAAACUGUAGGACAGGUGCUGCACGGCUGUCGUCAGCUCGUGUCGUGAGAUGUUGGGUUAAGUCCCGCAACGAGCGCAACCCACGUCAUUAGUUGCUAACACUUCGGGUGAGAACUCUAAUGAGACUGCCUGGGCAACCAGGAGGAAGGUGUGGACGACGUCAAGUCAUCAUGGCCCUUACGUCCAGGGCUACACACGUGCUACAAUGGGGCAUACAAAGAGCAGCAAUACCGCGAGGUGGAGCAAAUCUCAAAAAUGCCUCCCAGUUCGGAUAGUAGUCUGCAACUCGACUACUUGAAGUUGGAAUCGCUAGUAAUCGUAGAUCAGCAAUGCUACGGUGAAUACGUUCCCGGGUCUUGUACUCACCGCCCGUCACACCAUGGGAGUUGAACUCAUUCGAAGCGGGGAUGCUAAGAUAGCUACCCUCCACAGUGGAUUCAGCGACUGGGGUG
This 1215-nucleotide ribosomal RNA is filed under the name uncultured bacterium. RNAcentral describes it as "bacterial SSU rRNA". It matches the Rfam family "Bacterial small subunit ribosomal RNA", at positions 246 to 1482 of the family's 1533-position model. The record is from RNAcentral.